RNAcentral lists this ribosomal RNA (474 nucleotides) under uncultured bacterium. RNAcentral describes it as "bacterial SSU rRNA". It matches the Rfam family "Bacterial small subunit ribosomal RNA", at positions 29 to 506 of the family's 1533-position model. The record is from RNAcentral.
ACGAACGCUGGCGGCGUGCUUAACACAUGCAAGUCGAACGGAGGACUAAGAGGAAGCUUGCGAAUCCUAGUCCUUAGUGGCGGACGGGUGAGUAACACGUGGAUAACCUGCCUGUAAGACCGGGACAACACCUGGAAACGGGUGCUAAUACCGGGUAAGCUCUUAAUGCCGCAUGGUGUAAAGAGGAGAGGGGAAACCCGCUUACAGAUGGAUCCGCGGCCCAUUAGCUAGUUGGCGGUGUAACGGACCACCAAGGCGACGAUGGGUAGCCGGCCUGAGAGGGUGAUCGGCCACACUGGAACUGAGACACGGUCCAGACUCCUACGGGAGGCAGCAGUGGGGAAUCUUCCGCAAUGGGCGAAAGCCUGACGGAGCAACGCCGCGUGAAUGAUGAAGGCCUUCGGGUUGUAAAAUUCUGUCUUCAGGGAAGAAAAAAAUGACGGUACCUGAGGAGGAAGCCCCGGCUAACUACGU